UACGUAGGUCCCGAGCGUUGUCCGGAUUUAUUGGGCGUAAAGCGAGCGCAGGUGGUUCAUUAAGUCUGGUGUAAAAGGCAGUGGCUUAACCAUUGUAUGCAUUGGAAACUGGUAGACUUGAGUGCAGGAGAGGAGAGUGGAAUUCCAUGUGUAGCGGUGAAAUGCGUAGAUAUAUGGAGGAACACCGGUGGCGAAAGCGGCUCUCUGGCCUGUAACUGACACUGAGGCUCGAAAGCGUGGGGAGCAAACAGG
RNAcentral lists this ribosomal RNA (252 nucleotides) under uncultured bacterium. Its description in RNAcentral is "partial 16S ribosomal RNA". It matches the Rfam family "Bacterial small subunit ribosomal RNA", at positions 524 to 776 of the family's 1533-position model. The record is from RNAcentral.